RNAcentral lists this ribosomal RNA (253 nucleotides) under uncultured bacterium. RNAcentral describes it as "partial 16S ribosomal RNA". It matches the Rfam family "Bacterial small subunit ribosomal RNA", at positions 524 to 776 of the family's 1533-position model. The record is from RNAcentral.
UACGGAGGAGGCAAGCGUUAUCCGGAUUUAUUGGGCGUAAAGCGUCCGCAGGUGGUUUUACAAGUCUGCUGUCAAAGCGCGAAGCUCAACUUCGUAUAGGCAGUGGAAACUGUAAGACUUGAGUGUGAUAGGGGCAGAGGGAAUUCCCAGUGUAGCGGUGAAAUGCGUAGAGAUUGGGAAGAACACCGGUGGCGAAGGCAACCACCUGGGCCUGUACUGACGCUGAGGUACGAAAGCGUGGGGAGCAAACAGG